UACGUAGGGUGCAAGCGUUGUCCGGAAUUACUGGGCGUAAAGAGUUCGUAGGCGGUUUGUCGCGUCGGCUGUGAAAACUCGGGGCUCAACCCCGAGCCUGCAGUAGAUACGGGCAGACUAGAGUGCUGUAGGGGAGACUGGAAUUCCUGGUGUAGCGGUGAAAUGCGCAGAUAUCAGGAGGAACACCGGUGGCGAAGGCGGGUCUCUGGGCAGUAACUGACGCUGAGGAGCGAAAGCGUGGGGAGCGAACAGG
Molecule: ribosomal RNA, 253 nt
Filed under: uncultured bacterium
Lineage: Bacteria
Description: partial 16S ribosomal RNA
Rfam family: Bacterial small subunit ribosomal RNA
Source: RNAcentral